RNA transcript from Homo sapiens (human), 2100 nucleotides. It is a transcript of the gene named PDCD6IP pseudogene 2, with no coding region annotated. NCBI's taxonomy places the organism in Eukaryota, Metazoa, Chordata, Mammalia, Primates, Hominidae. The transcript has 14 exons. The record is from RefSeq and is marked provisional.
GCAACUGCCAUGGAUGUUUACAGGAACCCAGCCAGAGUUUGCCUCCCUGCACUUCAUCCCAGAGCGCACCUGCUUCCUCCACUUCACCUUCGGAGAGGACACUUCAAACUGCGGACACACGCAAAAGCAACUCCCAGCUCUGUUUGAUGUUACUCGUUCCUCAGCAAGUUGGCAAAACAGAUAUCAUGCUGGCAAUUGAAAAGCUGCAGGCGGGUGCUCUUGCAACUGACGCAGUCACUGCAGCACUGGUGGAACUUGAGAUCUGUUUGAGGAGAUGGUGCCUGUGUCAGUGUGGCAGUCUUUGGCUGCCUGUGAUCAGAGGAAAGCCGAUUUGUUAACAGAUCAAUUGCUCAGAUGAGAGAAGCCACCACUUUGGCAAAUGGAGUGCUAGCUUCCCUUAAUCUUCCAGCAGCAAUUGAAGAUGUGUCUGGAGACACUGUACCUCAGUCUAUAUUGACUAAAUCAAGAUCUGUGAUUGAACAGGGAGGCAUCCAGACUGUUGAUCAGUUGACUAAAGAACUGCCUGAAUUACUGCAAUGAAAUAGAGAAAUCCUAGAUGAGUCAUUAAGGUUUUUGGAUGAAGAAGAAGCAACCGAUAAUGAUUUAUGAGCAAAAUUUAAGGAACGCUGGCAAAGGACAUCAUCCAAUGAACUGUAUAAGCCUUUAAAAGCAGAGGGAACCAGCUUCAGAACAGUUUUAGAUAAAGCUGUGCAAGCAGAUGGACACGUGAAAGAAUGUUACCCGUCUCAUCGUGACCCCAUCGUGCUUUUGUGUAAGCCAGAGCCUGAGCUGAAUGCUGCCAUCCCUUCUGCUAAUCCAGCAAAGACCAUGCAGGGCAGUGAGGUUGUAAAUGUCUUAAAAUCCUUAUUGUCAAAUCUUGAUGAAGUAAAGAAGGAAAGAGAGGGUCUGGAGAAUGACUUGAAAUCUGUGAAUUUUGACAUGACAAGCAAGUUUUUGACAGCCCUGGCUCAAGAUGGCAUGAUAAAUGAAGAAGCUCUUUCUGUUACUGAACUAGAUCGAGUCUAUGGAGGUCUUACAACUAAAGUCCAAGAAUCUCUAAAGAAACAGGAGGGACUUCUUAAAAAUAUUCAGGUCUCACAUCAGGAAUUUUCGAAAAUGAAGCAAUCUAAUAAUGAAGCUAACUUAAGAGAAGAAGUUUUGAAGAAUUUAGCUACUGCAUGUGACAACUUUGUUGAACUUGUAGCUAAUUCGAAGGAAGGCACAAAGUUUUACAAUGAGUUGACUGAAAUCCUGGUCAGGUUCCAGAACAAAUGCAGCGAUAUAGUUUUGGCAUGGAAGACAGAAAGAGAUGAACUCUUAAAGCCUGAGACCUGGGAGGAAGCUGGAGAAAAGAUGCCCUCUGAAUCUUUGUGUUUGGCUGCCCAGGCUCGCCUUGACACCGAAUGGUUGAAAACAGAUAUACAGAUGGUAGUGUCGAACCAAGUGGAACAAAGAAAGAAGAUCUGAAUGACAAAGAGAAAAAAAAUGAAGACGAAACUCCUGCACCUGUAUAUAGGGCCAAGUCAAUUCUGGAGACCUGGGUGUGGGUCAAGCAACCAGGAAACGGAAGCCCAAAGAGGAGGGGAGCUUACAGCAGGCCCUGGACUAGGGAUUAACACAAAAACAACAGCAACAAAUCUGAUUUAAGCUUCACACAUAUACUCGGGAGACUGAGGCAGGAGAAUCGCUUGAACCUGGGAUGCAGAGGUUGCAGUGAGCCGAGAUCGCACCAUUGCACUCCAGCCUGGGCGACAGAACGAAACUGUGUCUCAUAAAACAAAUAUAACUGAAAUGGUAAUGUGUUUCUUUAAAACUGAAGAAAAUGUGCAAGGUGGAUGUCUUCCUGUCACUUCGCACAGCCUACUGCCAUAGCACCUGAGCCCCAGACCCUAAACUCACUGUCCUGCUCGGGGACCCCAGACCACACUGGCCAUUGAAGGCACCCCAAGUACUCUCCUAUCCUCACCUCGCUCCUGCAGUAAAUGGCUAAAUGAAUAACUCAGAAGUGAAGCCAAAAAAGAAAAAGAAAAUGCACAUGGGGAACAGGAGAGGCGAGCAGAGGCCAGUCUGGAAGCCUGGGCUGAUACGCUGUGAAGAGAU